Molecule: ribosomal RNA, 468 nt
Filed under: uncultured Streptococcus sp.
Lineage: Bacteria; Bacillati; Bacillota; Bacilli; Lactobacillales; Streptococcaceae
Description: bacterial SSU rRNA
Rfam family: Bacterial small subunit ribosomal RNA
Source: RNAcentral
GACGGAACCGCACAAGCGGUGGAGUAUGUUGUUUAAUUCGAAGCAACGCGAAGUAACCUUACCAGGUCUUGACAUCCCGAUGCUAUUUCUAGAGAUAGAAAGUUACUUCGGUACAUCGGUGACAGGUGGUGCAUGGUUGUCGUCAGCUCGUGUCGUGAGAUGUUGGGUUAAGUCCCGCAACGAGCGCAACCCCUAUUGUUAGUUGCCAUCAUUCAGUUGGGCACUCUAGCGAGACUGCCGGUAAUAAACCGGAGGAAGGUGGGGAUGACGUCAAAUCAUCAUGCCCCUUAUGACCUGGGCUACACACGUGCUACAAUGGUUGGUACAACGAGUUGCGAGUCGGUGACGGCGAGCUAAUCUCUUAAAGCCAAUCUCAGUUCGGAUUGUAGGCUGCAACUCGCCUACAUGAAGUCGGAAUCGCUAGUAAUCGCGGAUCAGCACGCCGCGGUGAAUACGUUCCCGGACCUU